This is a long non-coding RNA of Cajanus cajan (pigeon pea), 4345 nucleotides long. RefSeq lists it as uncharacterized. NCBI's taxonomy places the organism in Eukaryota, Viridiplantae, Streptophyta, Magnoliopsida, Fabales, Fabaceae. The record is from RefSeq and is a predicted model, not a curated record.
AGUAUGCAACGGCCUCUGCAACAGUUAGGAAGAUCUUGUCCUCGCCAAUUCUGUUCGCAAAUUUGGAUGCAUAAAGCUUGUCUGUCACUGCUGGACCAGGAUUUGCAAGAACAAGCUUCAAAAAAAGCAAGAAGUUAAGUUGAUAGUCCUUCAUAGAUGCAAAUGUUCUUCCAAUUGCUGUGGCUUCCUGAGGCAACCAAAAUGUAACGGAAUAAUUACAACUACAGGAGUAGAUGAACAAAUACUCCCUCAAGAGCGGUAUUGGUAUCAAAGUUACUUACAGUCAAUGCUAUCAUGCCUGCCACGAUGCCAAUUUUAAAAGCUUUUCCAAGGUAUUCACCGCUUAAAUAAAGUUCUUUAACUGAUGAUGGAUUGAUUCCUCUUUCUAUUUUUCUUACCUUCACAUAUCAAUAGACAAAAACUUCAGUAACUAAUAUUAUGCCACUCUUACCAUCACUUGGACAUAAAAUACGCUAAUAAUCUGCAAUAUUUAAGAUGAUAAUAGAAAUCUAUAUACUUACAAUUUCUACUCCUUGCUUAUCUGCACGGGUUAUGUAUACAAAAAAAGUGGACAAGAUAACGGAUAUCAAUGGAGCAAUUGCUGGCACCCAGAAGAAUCUGGUGUUUUUCUUUCCCUGAUCGACGUAAUAUGAAAUAAUGAGAAAACAAUUUAUGAAAUCCUAAGCAUUAAUUAGGGAAUAAUAGCGAAAUGAAUUAGGGGGCGUUCUAAUGCCUUACAAUAUAUUUGGCGAACAGAAGAAAACCCAAAAAGCUAGCUCCGAUUACUAUAGUUUGCCAGUUCCACUGCAUGAUGAUAGGUGUUAAUUAAAUUAUUAAUCAAAAUAUUGUUUCAACAUACGCAAACACCAUAGUUAGAAGUUUUAAUUUUAGGCACGGACUUUUGACUCCUGCUAAUCAACAAUUUUCAUGUAUAUUGAGAGAGAGAGAGAGAGAGAGAAUACUCCGUGAUGGGCUGUUGAGAAUACUGAAUGCAGCACAGAGACAAUAUCAGUGUUCUUUGUGAACUGAGUAGUUUUAAUGCCAAGGAAACCCUUAAGCUGCUGAAGGGCAAUUGUGAUAGCAGCACCCCCCAUAAAACCCACGAUAGCAGCAUGGGAUAGGAAGUCAAUCAAGAAUCCAAGCCUGAAUGAAAAAAAUAAUAAAAUAGAAACCAAUGCAACCAUAAAAUAUUAUGGUGUAUAUCAAACAGUAACAUUCGUUGCAGCUGGUAGCACAAUAGCAGUAGCAUAAGGCAUAAAUUUUAUGACAAAACUUAGUCGCAGUACAUUUCUCCGAUUAGAAUUACAAUUUCACUUUGAUAACAUUCAUUUAUCUUUAAUGUAGUAUCAAUAAUAUAUAUUUUUUAUAUUAUUAAAAUAAUAUUUCAAUUCUAAUUAGAAAAAAGUAUCAACAAUAUCUAUAAUACUAUAAUAAGUUGUGCUAGAUUUUAGUGGACGAAAUAUUUAAAUGCAAAGUCCCUUCUAGAACAUUAAGGGGUAGUGUCAAUGUCAUACCUAAGUAUACCAAGCGUUGCUUGAGUAAUCCCAGCAAAAAAAGUGGCUGUAAAAGCUAGUCGCCGAUAUUCUUCUGCAUGUGUUUUAGGAUCAAUCUCAUUACUAAGUAAGGUCCCCAACAAGAGAGAAACCACUGCCACCGGUCCAAUAGCAAUAUCACGAGAGCUACCCAUGACAGCAUAGAUCAGUGGUGGAACAAAACUGGAGUCUGUAUAGAAAGAACAAAAUGCAAAAGGAUCUCAGUCCAACAUCCAGAGAAAAUUACACGUGGGCAACUUAAACUGUUUGGUGAGAGGCAAGAAGAGUCUUACACAGUCCAUACUGUGGAGGCAAAUUUGCAAGCUUGGCGUAUCCAAUAUCCUGUUUUUUGAAGCCAAGUAUUAGAAGUUGGAGCCUCCAAAAUGGAGCAUGUAAUAUGAAUUAUUCUCCUUUAAAAGUUUGAAAUCAACAAUACUUACCUGAGGAAUGCAAAGACUAGCAAUAGUGAGACCAGAUAUUAUAUCCCCUUUAAAUUUUUUAAGGUUGUAACUUCUCCCCCAAUUAAGUAUUGGGAAUAUGGCCUCAAUACCGAGGAUGAGCUUCUUUGAUUUAGUUUGAUCUUUGAAGGGUCUUAGAGGAUCAUCAGCAAAUAAUGUUUCUUUUAUAGUGUCUUUGAAUUCGUUGAAGAGGUUCUGUCUUGGAGGAAUUGCCACUUUGUGGGCUUGUGGUGCCUGACCAUGUGAAGAAGAUGACAUACUUCUCAGAUCAACCUGUUUUAUUUCAAGAUUUUCAUCAGCAGGAGGACCCAUCGAAGACAUCAACUGCGACCUUCAAUCUGUAAUACUGGGAAAAGUCAUAACCAGAUAUAUUGGAAAAUAGAAAUGACAUCAAUGAGUGUGAUUUAGUAAUCACAACAAUAUGGUUUAUAUGCAUGCAAAGUCUACCAUGUUGCUUGCAUCUCUAAUAUGCAGUCCAAAAAUGCAGAUAAUCAGGCAUGGAAUAUGGAAUUUUAGACGUUGAUUGGUGAUAGAUAGAUCCUACUAACUAUGAGAAGUAACUCUGAAAUGUUUAGCCAACCUGAAUAGAAGAGAAGGCGAUAUGUGACAAAAGAUUUGAAUGGUCACUGGUUCAAGCUGUGACGCCUUCUUAAGAAGGUAGCUGCUGUGAAGCUAUUGGAUUAUAACCUCAUAGACUUUAUCUUUGAGGUCAAUGUUCUCAAGCUGAAAUUGAAAAACUAGACAAAAUUAAUGUGUGAACCGGAUCGAAUGCAUAUAUGUCAAAAUCAUACAUUACAAUAUGCAUAAUUUUCAAUGCUGACCAAACUACCCUGGAAUAAUUCACUUAAAGUCAGAUGGUCAUCUAGUAAUUUGAAACUGUCGUAACAUUAGAAAAAUGGCGGGGAAUACGAUAAGUAUUGUCUAGGGAGCAAACUUAGUGCAGCAAGAAAUUAAUAAAAUCACAUUAUAAUUUAAAAUUACUGAUCUGCUUUAAAAAUCACAAAGUCAAUAAAGUUUUAAAUAUAAAGAAAAAGACAAAGAAGUUAAACAUGUCAAAUAAUAACCAUCCAUUGGUACUGAUUGUUGUGAGUGGAACUGCAAGCCGAUUUCUUUUGUCAAAUCACAAGACUAAUUUGAUCAAAAGAAAUAUUUCGCGGAUUUUAACUAACUAGAUGUCUAAUGUGAACUUAUUAUAGACUUAUUAAAGAUAAUCUGACAAUUCAGUUGAUAUCAUGGGAGAUUGAUUGCAAAAUUUUCAAUCCAAUGAACAGCAAUAGUAAUGGUCUUUCUAUGUGCCUCUUAACGAGCAGGAGUGAAUCUCACGCACAAGUCCCUCUCAGAAGAGCAUAUAGAUACAAAAUUCUCAAUUAUCAUCUUUUCUAAUUCCUGGACAACACAAAACACGUCAUUCUCAGAAAAGAUUAAAAAGGAAUCAAAUUCUUAAACCUCACUAUAAUUCAAAAACCCAUAUUAUCGUCUCACCAAAUAAAAAUAAACAAUACUCAAAACCGUGUUUUGACUGUUCAACGGAAUCAUAAUAUAAUUGUACUUCGUUGCUUACUAAUGUUAAGAUAGAUGAUUAAUUCAUCAUAUAUGCAUUCUACUAAUACUAACUUAACAGCAUAAGUUCUCAUGAACGUAGAACCGCAGCAUUUUUAAUUUCACUUUAUACGGAUGCAGGGUAAAACAGUAAGAACAUGAACGCAUCCUUCAUUCAGAACAAGACAACAACCAAAAUCUAAACUUUUCCCAAGUCCUACUACCCUUUAGGAGUUAUGAACCACUAACUGCUUAUUCCAAAAUCCUAAGUUUGGAGAAUAAAGUCUACAAUAGACACCUAACACACCUAUCCUUCUUAAGCUUCUCAUGCAAGCCAUUGAUAGUGGAGGAUUCCAAUUACACUAACACCCCAAGUAUUCUUUAUUUCUUCACAAAUGCACUUUAACCCUUCCCAUGUCAUAAUAGGUGUAAAGCACCAAAUAAACUACCAAGGGAGAAUGACCAAACAACACACGAAAGUGAAACAAACAAAGUAACAGACAAAUAUGUACAUGGUAUUUGCAUCAAGAGAGAAUACCCAGAAAUUAAAGAGUAAACAGCUUGGCUUUCCAUUCACCACGUACCAUCGGUUUUCCUUCUCACAUGUCUCUCUGAAAAGACUCUAACUCUACUUUUGAACGUGGAACCCAUAAACACAGAGAAGAGAAAGUGACAAAAACAAACACUGCAGGGCUUGGGAAUGGAGCAGUUAAAUUAAUGAAAAGAAACUAAUAGAAAUCGGCAGUGAGAAGAUAGUUUCUCUUUGAACAUGUUGUUUUACCAAAUAGACCACUUUGUUGUUAAGGAAAAAAAAAA